This 254-nucleotide ribosomal RNA is filed under the name uncultured bacterium. RNAcentral describes it as "partial 16S ribosomal RNA". It matches the Rfam family "Bacterial small subunit ribosomal RNA", at positions 524 to 776 of the family's 1533-position model. The record is from RNAcentral.
UACGUAGGGGGCAAGCGUUGUCCGGAUUUAUUGGGCGUAAAGAGCUCGUAGGCGGCUCAGUAAGUCAGGUGUGAAAACUCCAGGCUCAACCUGGAGACGCCACCUGAUACUGCUGUGGCUAGAGUCCGGUAGGGGAGCAUGGAAUUCCUGGUGUAGCGGUGAAAUGCGCAGAUAUCAGGAGGAACACCAAUGGCGAAGGCAGCUCGCUGGGACGGUACUGACGCUGAGACGCGAAAGCGUGGGGAGCAAACAGG